Molecule: long non-coding RNA, 474 nt
Filed under: Heterocephalus glaber (naked mole-rat)
Lineage: Eukaryota; Metazoa; Chordata; Mammalia; Rodentia; Bathyergidae
Description: lncRNA (ENSHGLG00000038016.1)
Source: RNAcentral
CUGUUUUCUAGGUAAUGCUGCAAAAGGGGAAGAGGUCAUAUCCGCCUGACAGACACACUGAAGAGGUUCUCUUUUCAAACUUUGCACCACUGUUUACCACAUAACAGUGAAUGAAUCAUGGGAUAAGACAUAAACUGUGGUUGCACCACUGAGACUUUGAAAGACUGAAAUCCUUCACAUGAAGAACAUAAUGGACUAAAUUUCAAAGGUAGUCUCGGUUAGAAUUCCAUUUUCAUUUUGAAUGUGACUUUUUGGUCUUUACAGAGAAAAAAGUGUAUAAGAAAGCAGUAUCACAAGAAUGGCAAGUACACCCAGGACAGCUGCUGAGAGUCCAGGAAUUUCCAGAUCUCCUAACAAGUAGCAUCCUCAAAGGAUAUUCAGAGACCACUGGAUUCCUGAGAAAAAGUUGGCUAUCUUUUUCUAAAAGGGUCCAGUCAUUCCUAUCUUCUAAUUCGAGACAGAGGCUGUAAAGAA